Molecule: long non-coding RNA, 652 nt
Filed under: Nicotiana benthamiana
Lineage: Eukaryota; Viridiplantae; Streptophyta; Magnoliopsida; Solanales; Solanaceae
Description: long non-coding RNA (NBEN_LNC011359)
Source: RNAcentral
UUCAACACAAAAAUUCAAGAAUAUAGAAAAUAACUUAGAACGAUCUUUCAUUAAAAAAUCCAAGUACAUCUUGAAUGAUCAUCAAUGAAGCUAACAAAAUAACAAAAUCCCAAGGUUGAACUGACUCUACUAGGACCCAAUAUAUCCGAAUGAACUAAAAAAAAUAGACUCUGCACGACUCUCAAUACUACGAGGAAAGGAAGCGCGGGUAUGUUUCCCGAGCUGACAUGACUCACACUCUAAUGAGGAUAAACUAGACAAACGAGGCACCAUCUUAUGAAGCUUGGACAAGCUAGGAUGUCCUAAACGACUGUGAAGUAGGUCUGGAGGAUCUGCAACUAGACAUGCCUUGGAGGAUGUUAGUGAGUUAAGGUAGUAGGUCUGGAGGAUCUGCAACUAGAGAGGCCUUGGAGGAUGUUAGUGAGUUAAGGUAGUAGAGUCCUUCUGAUUUAAGUCCUGUUCCAAUCGUCUGUCCCGUACUGCAGUGCUGCAUAAUAAAAGAAUCAUCAAUAAAAUAUAUGCCGCAAUGGAGGGCACGAGUCAAACGACUUACAGAUGCAAGAUUAAAAGGACAGCCAGGGACAUAAAGAACGGAAUCUAGAGUGACAGAGGGUAGAGGAUUUGCUUGUCCAACUCCUUUUGCUUUAGUNNN